Molecule: unclassified non-coding RNA, 319 nt
Filed under: Hevea brasiliensis (rubber tree)
Lineage: Eukaryota; Viridiplantae; Streptophyta; Magnoliopsida; Malpighiales; Euphorbiaceae
Source: RNAcentral
CAAAAAAAAAAAAAAAAAAGAGUAUUUGUGCAUGAUAUAUUCAUAUUCUGCAUAAGAAAAGCAUAAAGUUUCAUAUUACAAAAAGUUCCAGCGAUAUGCGUGAUGUGCAACUCAGGGUUCAAAUAGAGUAAAAGACCAUCUUCUCACCAAUUUCCAAUCCUAGCAUUAAACAUGUCCACAGUCCGGGUUGGGCUCAAAACCAGCCUGGUCUACCAAGAACCAGAACAGGUAAACAGUAUACAGGCCAAACCGGACCAGAACCUUCAGUCCCUUGAAUUGAACAGGCAGUCUAGUUCAUACUCAACUCAACUCAACUCAA